RNAcentral lists this ribosomal RNA (503 nucleotides) under Acrobeloides sp. GSt51. RNAcentral describes it as "SSU rRNA". It matches the Rfam family "Eukaryotic small subunit ribosomal RNA", at positions 1097 to 1624 of the family's 1831-position model. Lineage: Eukaryota; Metazoa; Nematoda; Chromadorea; Rhabditida; Cephalobidae. The record is from RNAcentral.
ACGAAAGUCUUCCGGUUCCGGGGGAAGUAUGGUUGCAAAGCUGAAACUUAAAGGAAUUGACGGAAGGGCACCACCAGGAGUGGAGCCUGCGGCUUAAUUUGACUCAACACGGGGAAACUCACCCGGCCCGGACACCGUAAGGAUUGACAGAUUGAUAGCUCUUUCAUGAUUCGGUGGUUGGUGGUGCAUGGCCGUUCUUAGUUCGUGGAUCGAUUUGUCUGGUUUAUUCCGAUAACGAGCGAGACUCUAGCCUACUAAAUAGUAACGAGAUUAUCAAUGUCUCAGUUGCUUCUUAGAGGGAUUUUCGGUGUUUAGCCGCACGAGAUUGAGCAAUAACAGGUCUGUGAUGCCCUUAGAUGUCCGGGGCUGCACGCGCGCUACACUGGCGAAAUCAGCGUGCUGUAUCCAUUCUCGAAAGGGAUUGGUAAACCCAUGAAAAUUUGCCGUGCUUGGGAUCGGAAAUUGCAAUUAUUUUCCGUGAACGAGGAAUUCCAAGUAAGUGC